CACGUAGGGUGCGAGCGUUGUCCGGAAUUAUUGGGCGUAAAGAGCUCGUAGGCGGUGUGUCGCGUCGGCCGUGAAAACCUGCAGCUUAACUGUGGGCUUGCGGUCGAUACGGGCAUCACUGGAGUUCGGCAGGGGAUACUGGAAUUCCUGGUGUAGCGGUGAAAUGCGCAGAUAUCAGGAGGAACACCGGUGGCGAAGGCGGGUCUCUGGGCCGGAACUGACGCUGAGGAGCGAAAGCGUGGGGAGCGAACAGG
RNAcentral lists this ribosomal RNA (254 nucleotides) under uncultured bacterium. RNAcentral describes it as "partial 16S ribosomal RNA". It matches the Rfam family "Bacterial small subunit ribosomal RNA", at positions 524 to 776 of the family's 1533-position model. The record is from RNAcentral.